This 267-nucleotide long non-coding RNA is filed under the name Lathyrus oleraceus (garden pea). RNAcentral describes it as "Pisum sativum (pea) long non-coding RNA (PSAT_LNC024792)". The record is from RNAcentral. Lineage: Eukaryota; Viridiplantae; Streptophyta; Magnoliopsida; Fabales; Fabaceae.
AAAAAAUUGUUGAGCCAUUUUUAUGGUCUUGUGAUGUUUGACUUUCUGUUUGGGCCUUGGUCAAGGUUGAUUUGACUUUUGUUGGAUCAAAACCAUUGGAUUUAGGGGAUUGAUGAAAUGUACAUUUCAUCUUGACUUUCUGUUUGGGCCUUGGUCAAGGUUGAUUUGACUUUUGUUGGAUCAAAACCAUUGGAUUUAGGGGAUUGAUGAAAUGUACAUUUCAUCUCCCAAAAUGAAUGAAUGGUUUUGAUUUAAUGAAAGUCCUCC